This 278-nucleotide ribosomal RNA is filed under the name uncultured bacterium. RNAcentral describes it as "partial 16S ribosomal RNA". It matches the Rfam family "Bacterial small subunit ribosomal RNA", at positions 524 to 794 of the family's 1533-position model. The record is from RNAcentral.
UACGUAGGUGGCGAGCGUUGUCCGGAAUUACUGGGCGUAAAGGAUGCGUAGGUGGAUACUUAAGUGGGAUGUGAAAUCCCCCGGGCGUCAACCCGGGAACCGUGCAUUCCAAACUAGGGUAGUCUAGAGUGCAGGAGAGGAAAGACGGAAUUCCUAGUGUAGCGGUGAAAUGCGUAGAUAUUAGGAGGAACACCAGUGGCGAAGGCGGCUUUCUGGACUGUAACUGACACUGAGGCAUGAAAGCGUGGGUAGCAAACAGGAUUAGAUACCCGGGUAGU